Molecule: ribosomal RNA, 511 nt
Filed under: uncultured bacterium
Lineage: Bacteria
Description: bacterial SSU rRNA
Rfam family: Bacterial small subunit ribosomal RNA
Source: RNAcentral
GAUUCUGGCUCAGGACGAACGCUGGCGGCGUGCUUAACACAUGCAAGUCGAACGAGGAUCAUUCAAAUGAGAGCUUCGGCAGGAAUGCGGAUGAUUCGAGUGGCGGACGGGUGAGUAACGCGUGAGCAACCUGUCCCAGACAGGGGGAUAACACUUGGAAACAGGUGCUAAUACCGCAUAAGACCACGGGGGGACAUCCCUCUGGGGGUAAAAGGAGGAAUCCGGUUUGGGGUGGACUCGCGUCCGAUUAGAUAGUUGGUGAGGUAACGGCCCACCAAGUCGACGAUCGGUAGCCGACCUGAGAGGGUGAUCGGCCACAUUGGAACUGAGAGACGGUCCAAACUCCUACGGGAGGCAGCAGUGGGGAAUAUUGGGCAAUGGGCGAAAGCUUUGACCCAGCAACGCCGCGUGGGUGAAGAAGGCCUUCGGGUUGUAAAGCUCUGUUAUAGUUGACGAAGGAAGUGACGGUAGGCUAUAAGGAAGCCCCGGCUAACUACGUGCCAGCAGCAGC